RNAcentral lists this ribosomal RNA (468 nucleotides) under uncultured bacterium. Its description in RNAcentral is "partial 16S ribosomal RNA". It matches the Rfam family "Bacterial small subunit ribosomal RNA", at positions 28 to 507 of the family's 1533-position model. The record is from RNAcentral.
GACGAACGCUGGCGGCGUGCUUAACACAUGCGAGUCGAACGGAAAGGCCCUGCUUUUGUGGGGUGCUCGAGUGGCGAACGGGUGAGUAACACGUGAGUAACCUGCCCUUGACUUUGGGAUAACUUCAGGAAACUGGGGCUAAUACCGGAUAGGAGCUCCUGCUGCAUGGUGGGGGUUGGAAAGUUUCGGCGGUUGGGGAUGGACUCGCGGCUUAUCAGCUUGUUGGUGGGGUAGUGGCUUACCAAGGCUUUGACGGGUAGCCGGCCUGAGAGGGUGACCGGCCACAUUGGGACUGAGAUACGGCCCAGACUCCUACGGGAGGCAGCAGUGGGGAAUAUUGCACAAUGGGCGGAAGCCUGAUGCAGCAACGCCGCGUGCGGGAUUACGGCCUUCGGGUUGUAAACCGCUUUCGCCUGUGACGAAGCGUGAGUGACGGUAAUGGGUAAAGAAGCACCGGCUAACUACGUG